CCGACGGUGAGGGAUGAAAGCUGGGGGCACGAACCGGAUUGGAUACCCGGGUAGUCCCAGCCGUAAACGAUGCUCGCUAGGUGUCAGGCAUGGCGCGACCGUGUCUGGUGCCGCAGGGAAGCCGUGAAGCGAGCCACCUGGGAAGUACGGCCGCAAGGCUGAAACUUAAAGGAAUUGGCGGGGGAGCACAACAACGGGUGGAGCCUGCGGUUUAAUUGGACUCAACGCCGGACAACUCACCGGGGGCGACAGCAAUAUGUAGGCCAAGCUGAAGACUUUGCCUGAAUCGCUGAGAGGAGGUGCAUGGCCGUCGCCAGUUCGUACUG
Molecule: ribosomal RNA, 326 nt
Filed under: uncultured archaeon
Lineage: Archaea
Description: bacterial SSU rRNA
Rfam family: Archaeal small subunit ribosomal RNA
Source: RNAcentral